UAUUCAGUAGCACCUUAGAGACCACCUGAGUUUGUUCUUGGUAUGAGCUUUUGUGUGCAUGCUCAUACCAAGAACAAACUUAGUUGGUCUCUAAGGUGCUACUGGAUA
This is a non-coding RNA of Podarcis lilfordi (Lilford's wall lizard), 108 nucleotides long. Lineage: Eukaryota; Metazoa; Chordata; Lepidosauria; Squamata; Lacertidae. The record is from the annotation of a GenBank genome assembly.